CAUGACUCAGACCACUUACCUUAAUCAUGACUCAAAGUCCUGACUGUAUUUCCUGAAUUGUGACUCGCAGCACUGUCUCCUGAAUCCUGGCUGUGUGCUGUUGCUUGCUGUAGAAUUCCAAACAUCUCUCUCUUCUCUGAGCUCAUCUCAUCCUUCACAUGUUUAUCUACGACGUGGUAUUUAUAAUCGAAUCCACCUCAAACCCCCGCAUGAGAGGAGGACCAUUUUCCUGCUGCUCUGCUGUCAGCUCUCAUUUAGCUUCAUUCGGCUGGGAUUGAGCUGCAGCUCAUCCAUCAUGGCGUCUGUCCCAGAAUGUCCGCAUUCGUCUGGAUGACUAGAUUUAACCUGCAGGAGGUUAAUAUUUAGUGAGCUGUGAGUGCAACGCUGUCACUUCGGGCGAACGCAGAGACAGUUCAGGUAUCAGAGUCAGAGCAGAGACUUCCUGCUUAUGAUCAACACUUCCUGCUUCACACACUUACUGCAGUGUUCCUGCUUCCUGUCUCCACAUCUGCCGCAUCUGUCUCCACAUCUGUUCAGUUUGUUAUUGAGUUCUGGAUUGUGAUUGGUCAGAAGCAGGUAAUUGUUUAUAUGAUGAAAUUUUCUGCAAGGAGAAAGUAUGGAUCAUUUAUGGAAGGAGUCUCCAGCGUCAGAGCUGUGUAACACUCAGCGGUAAAGCUGUAACUCUUCAGGACAGAGGAGUUUAAGCUUCUUUGUGGUUUCUUGUAAGGAGACUCUGCACAACGAGCCAGCCGCCUCCUCAGUUUGGACCACAGCCAUCAUUUUACAUAAGAGUGAAGUGCCAGUGUAAUAAGCAGUUUGCAGAUGAUAACAUCCUACUAGGUCUCAUAAAGGACAAUAACGAGUCUGCCUACUACAGGGAAGUAGCAGCCUGAUUCAUAGCCUGGUCUGAGAACAACAACAUCUCAAACACUUUUCAAGACAUUUUGGAUGUGUUUCAAGUUCCACAGAAGCCAACCAUCAAACCCACUUCUGUCCAUCAACAGCACCACUGUAAGAACUGUCGAAUCUUUCUGAUUUCUGGACUCCACCACUAUGUACACACGUUAAAUCGGAGGAUUACAUCACAUGCAUAGUCAAGAAGGGACAAUGGGGGAUGUUCUUUCUGAGGCAGUCGAAGAAACAGUGUACCUCAGCCAAUAAUGGUUCAGUUUUAGCCAUCAUUGCGAGCAUCCUUACAUCCUCCAGCACUGUGUGGUUCAACCCAAGAAAGUAUUACAAUGAGUAAUCUGUAAUGCUGAGAAGAUCAUCAGAUGCCUUCUCACUCCCAUCAUCAAACUGCUCAUCGCCAAAGCAAUGACAUAGCACCAGAAAUUGUCUAAUCACCCAUUUCAGAAGCUCCCACCAGGCAGGCUCUACUGAACCAUCAGCAGCAAGAGAGCUCAUCACCACAGCAGAUUCUUCCCUUGUGCUAUCAACCUCAUCAACCAAGACCAAUGAUGUGUUCUGGGUUCUGGACUGAUACUUACUCAUGCCGUGCAGUUUAUCGUGUAUCAUUUAUUAAUACUAUAUCGUAUUAGACUUGUGCAAUACUGAAACAGCGCAGUUCAUAUUAUGCACCUUGUAUGUACAAGUUCUGUUGUCUGUGAACUUGCAAAGUCUGAUCUGUCUCCGUAUCUUCACCUGUGGCACUGUUCCAUGCGUGUACAUCAAUUUGUGACGCGUUCAGUUGUAUGUUAGAUGUCCACAGCAGCCAUUAUUCCGACUCAUGUCCGUGCAUCUCUGAUCACACUGUAUUCUGAUUCCUAUAUGGUUACAUGGAUAAUACAACAAAACCGAUGAACAACAGACUGAACAAAAUCAAAAUAAACAAGCAGAGCACUAUGCUCUGUGAACUGCAAUGCACCCUGGGAGGGGUAAUUCAUGACACGCACAACUGCACAUUGAUGGACAGCGGAGGCCAGAUACGUACAUUUCAGGGAGGUUGCCAAGCAGUAAGCAAAGAUAAAGAGAGAACAAAUCGAUAAAGAUGCUUUGGCGGAAACCUGGGUUGAGGAGCGUCUGAUAUCUUAUAUGUGAUAGUGCUCCAUUUCACAUUAGAGAUUGAUCAUAAACUCUUACUGUCAGUCUUGGGCACUAAAAUCGAGGUAUGACUUUAUGCAUCUGAUAGGACUUUGGAAUUUACACUCUAAUGUACAUUCUUAGAGUAACGGGUUCCUCAAGAGAACUUCAGAUAGUUCUGAGUUCCUUAAUGGGAAACUAUCUGUUAUAGGGUUCUGCAUAAAACCUUUAAGGGUUCCUUCAGGAUUUGGAGGAAGCAGGGCAAAGCUACAGCUAAUCCAAUGUUUACAGAAAAGGGACGCUAGAUAUGAUAUAACUCGGCCAUGAGUUAGUGAGUUUGUGAUCAAGCGUAACUCCACACAUGGAUCAUGUAUGAGCGUUAAUCAGACGUUAUGAUGUUUUGGAAAGGGUUACACAGUUAGGGUGUAUUUAGAUAAGGCUAAAUCUUUAGAUAAGAUUUUAGUGUUGUGUACUGUAUGUGUACAUUGUGCAUUUGGAAGCAGAUGUUUCAUACUCAUAACUGGUGAGCUGAACUGACUCCCACCAGGCCUAAUGGAGCGUUUCAUACCCGGCUGUCAGAGUCAGUGGACCUGAUUCCUGCUCCAGGCUUCUUCUCACAAACGUGUGUGUGUGUGUGUGUGUGUGUGUGUGUGUGUGUGUGUGUGUGUGUGUGUGUGUGUGUGUGUGCAACAAAUGAUGCAAGAACAAUGUGAACAUUAUCCUCAGCAUGGUGUGUGUUGUUUGAUGUGUGUGCGCUGCCUCAGGACUGUGUUCAACAAUUAUAUACACAAACACAAACCCAUCAUACAAUACAACACAAGUUCCAACAUCUGGAUGAGAGAUGUUUCUCCUAACUGGCCUUCCUACAGAAAGCUGACAUUUUCAC
Molecule: long non-coding RNA, 2905 nt
Organism: Ictalurus punctatus (channel catfish)
Lineage: Eukaryota; Metazoa; Chordata; Actinopteri; Siluriformes; Ictaluridae
Exons: 4
Source: RefSeq, a predicted model, not a curated record